Molecule: long non-coding RNA, 357 nt
Organism: Austrofundulus limnaeus
Lineage: Eukaryota; Metazoa; Chordata; Actinopteri; Cyprinodontiformes; Rivulidae
Exons: 2
Source: RefSeq, a predicted model, not a curated record
CUACAGGCCUACACCUUGGAGAUACGGCACAUAAAAGGUCGUGACAACGUGGUAGCAGAUGCGUUGUCCCGGGCUUGUUGAAGCCCUGGGUGUUCUGGAUUAAGAGGGCCAGAUAUAAGCGACCCACAGGAUGCACAGAGGGCGACUCGCAGAGGGAGAGAGCUAUCGGCUGUACAUCGAGAAGGGCGUCUGCAGUCGUGGGUGUGGACUGGUUUGGCGACCUCCUCUUCCCCCUUCCUUCCACCAUGCUCUGGGCGCGUGGCACGGACUGGCGUCGCGUGCAGCGGAGCACCAUCUUUCGCUUUUUCUUUUACUUUUAGCCUAGUUUAAAUAAAUGCUUUUGUUUUGAUAUUUUAA